This 253-nucleotide ribosomal RNA is filed under the name uncultured bacterium. RNAcentral's name for it is "partial 16S ribosomal RNA". It matches the Rfam family "Bacterial small subunit ribosomal RNA", at positions 524 to 776 of the family's 1533-position model. The record is from RNAcentral.
UACGGAGGGUGCAAGCGUUGCUCGGAAUCACUGGGCGUAAAGCGACCGCAGGCGGCCUGACAAGUCGGAUGUGAAAGCCCUGGGCUCAACUCAGGAAUUGCAUUCGAAACUGGCAGGCUCGAGUACGGGAGAGGGGGGUGGAAUUCCUGGUGUAGGGGUGAAAUUCGUUGAUAUCAGGAGGAACACCGGCGGCGAAGGCGGCCCCCUGGCCCGCAACUGACGCUCAUGCACGAAAGCGUGGGGAGCAAACAGG